UACGUAGGGUGCAAGCGUUGUCCGGAAUUAUUGGGCGUAAAGAGCUCGUAGGCGGUCUGUCGCGUCGGCUGUGAAAUCCCGGAGCUCAACUCCGGGUCUGCAGUCGAUACGGGCAAACUGGAGUACUGCAGGGGAGACUGGAAUUCCUGGUGUAGCGGUGAAAUGCGCAGAUAUCAGGAGGAACACCGGUGGCGAAGGCGGGUCUCUGGGCAGUAACUGGCGCUGAGGAGCGAAAGCGUGGGGAGCGAACAGG
RNAcentral lists this ribosomal RNA (253 nucleotides) under uncultured bacterium. RNAcentral's name for it is "partial 16S ribosomal RNA". It matches the Rfam family "Bacterial small subunit ribosomal RNA", at positions 524 to 776 of the family's 1533-position model. The record is from RNAcentral.